CCUACGGGAGGCAGCAGUGAGGAAUAUUGGUCAAUGGACGAGGGUCUGAACCAGCCAAGUAGCGUGAAAGAUGACUGCCCUAUGGGUUGUAAACUUCUUUUAUAUGGGAAUAAAAUGUUCCACGUGUGGGAUUUUGUAUGUACCAUAUGAAUAAGGAUCGGCUAACUCCGUGCCAGCAGCCGCGGUAAUACGGAGGAUCCGAGCGUUAUCCGGAUUUAUUGGGUUUAAAGGGAGCGUAGGUGGAUUGUUAAGUCAGUUGUGAAAGUUUGCGGCUCAACCGUAAAAUUGCAGUUGAAACUGGCAGUCUUGAGGACAGUAGAGGUGGGCGGAAUGUGUGGUGUAGCGGUGAAAUGCUUAGAUAUCACGAAGAACUCCGAUUGCGAAGGCAGUUCACUGGACUGCAACUGACACUGAGGCUCGAAAGUGUGGGUAUCAAACAGGAUUAGAUACCCCAGUAGUC
Molecule: ribosomal RNA, 460 nt
Filed under: uncultured bacterium
Lineage: Bacteria
Description: partial 16S ribosomal RNA
Rfam family: Bacterial small subunit ribosomal RNA
Source: RNAcentral